GACGAACGCUGGCGGCGUGCCUAAUACAUGCAAGUAGAACGCUGAAGAGAGGAGCUUGCUCUUCUUGGAUGAGUUGCGAACGGGUGAGUAACGCGUAGGUAACCUGCCUGGUAGUGGGGGAUAACUAUUGGAAACGAUAGCUAAUACCGCAUAAUAGCAGUUAUUGCAUGAUAACUGUUUGAAAGGUGCAAAUGCAUCACUACCAGAUGGACCUGCGUUGUAUUAGCUAGUUGGUGGGGUAACGGCUCACCAAGGCGACGAUACAUAGCCGACCUGAGAGGGUGAUCGGCCACACUGGGACUGAGACACGGCCCAGACUCCUACGGGAGGCAGCAGUAGGGAAUCUUCGGCAAUGGACGGAAGUCUGACCGAGCAACGCCGCGUGAGUGAAGAAGGUUUUCGGAUCGUAAAGCUCUGUUGUAAGAGAAGAACGAGUGUGAGAGUGGAAAGUUCACACUGUGACGUAUCUACCAGAA
This 476-nucleotide ribosomal RNA is filed under the name Streptococcus mitis. Its description in RNAcentral is "bacterial SSU rRNA". It matches the Rfam family "Bacterial small subunit ribosomal RNA", at positions 28 to 488 of the family's 1533-position model. Lineage: Bacteria; Bacillati; Bacillota; Bacilli; Lactobacillales; Streptococcaceae. The record is from RNAcentral.